RNAcentral lists this transfer RNA (60 nucleotides) under Eurylepta cornuta. Its description in RNAcentral is "tRNA-Leu". The record is from RNAcentral. Lineage: Eukaryota; Metazoa; Platyhelminthes; Polycladida; Euryleptidae.
UUUAAGGUGGCAGAUAAAUGCAUUAGAUUUAAGCUCUAAAGAUGAGGUAUUCCCUUAAAA